AUAAUGGGUCAGCGACUUAUAUUCUGUAGCAAGGUUAACCGAAUAGGGGAGCCGAAGGGAAACCGAGUCUUAACUGGGCGUUAAGUUGCAGGGUAUAGACCCGAAACCCGGUGAUCUAGCCAUGGGCAGGUUGAAGGUUGGGUAACACUAACUGGAGGACCGAACCGACUAAUGUUGAAAAAUUAGCGGAUGACUUGUGGCUGGGGGUGAAAGGCCAAUCAAACCGGGAGAUAGCUGGUUCUCCCCGAAAGCUAUUUAGGUAGCGCCUCGUGAAUUCAUCUCCGGGGGUAGAGCACUGUUUCGGCAAGGGGGUCAUCCCGACUUACCAACCCGAUGCAAACUGCGAAUACCGGAGAAUGUUAUCACGGGAGACACACGGCGGGUGCUAACGUCCGUCGUGAAGAGGGAAACAACCCAGACCGCCAGCUAAGGUCCCAAAGUCAUGGUUAAGUGGGAAACGAUGUGGGAAGGCCCAGACAGCCAGGAUGUUGGCUUAGAAGCAGCCAUCAUUUAAAGAAAGCGUAAUAGCUCACUGGUCGAGUCGGCCUGCGCGGAAGAUGUAACGGGGCUAAACCAUGCACCGAAGCUGCGGCAGCGACGCUGAUGCGUUGUUGGGUAGGGGAGCGUUCUGUAAGCCUGUGAAGGUGU
This 648-nucleotide ribosomal RNA is filed under the name Escherichia coli. RNAcentral describes it as "partial 23S ribosomal RNA". It matches the Rfam family "Bacterial large subunit ribosomal RNA", at positions 612 to 1259 of the family's 2925-position model. The record is from RNAcentral. Lineage: Bacteria; Pseudomonadati; Pseudomonadota; Gammaproteobacteria; Enterobacterales; Enterobacteriaceae.